Molossus molossus (Pallas's mastiff bat) is the source of this 512-nucleotide long non-coding RNA. RefSeq lists it as uncharacterized. The transcript has 3 exons. NCBI's taxonomy places the organism in Eukaryota, Metazoa, Chordata, Mammalia, Chiroptera, Molossidae. The record is from RefSeq and is a predicted model, not a curated record.
UGCACACAAACUAUACUCAUCCCCUCUUCAAGCACGACAGCCCCAGAAUUCCAUUCUGUCACAGCCGGGGGCUGAGUUCAGGUUUCUGGAUGAUGUACUGAUGUGGAAGUCUGUGUGUCAGGGCUGGUGGUGACACCUGUCCAUGAACUAAGGAACCUUUUACCUCCCUCCCCUUGGAUCCACCCUCCUAAACAUACCUGUACAAAGUGUGUCCUUAAAAGCUAGCCCUGACUCAUCUCAGCUUAUUCUAAUCCACCUACAAGACUGCACCUUGUUUACACAUAAAACCAGCUAACAUGUACUGUGAUGACUUAGUGGGAGUCUAACCCUGAUCCAAGACCACAGGUCUCCACAACAAUUCUGCAAGACACCCACUAUUGUCAUCCCACUUUUAUGGAAGAAGAAACAGAAUGUGUAAGCAGCCUAGAUACUGAAAGAGAAGAAGGUCAACCCGUGGCCAAUGGAAUUGUCUGUUGAUUACAAUGGGCAUCACGGAAAAGAGUUCUAUAUCA